AACGAACGCUGGCGGCAUGCCUAACACAUGCAAGUCGAACGAGACCUUCGGGUCUAGUGGCGCACGGGUGCGUAACGCGUGGGAACCUGCCCUUAGGUUCGGAAUAACUCCCCGAAAGGGGUGCUAAUACCGGAUAAUGUCGUCGGACCAAAGAUUUAUCGCCUUUGGAUGGGCCCGCGUUGGAUUAGCUAGUUGGUAGGGUAAAAGCCUACCAAGGCGACGAUCCAUAGCUGGUCUGAGAGGAUGAUCAGCCACACUGGGACUGAGACACGGCCCAGACUCCUACGGGAGGCAGCAGUGGGGAAUAUUGGACAAUGGGCGAAAGCCUGAUCCAGCAAUGCCGCGUGAGUGAUGAAGGCCUUAGGGUUGUAAAGCUCUUUUACCCGGGAUGAUAAUGACAGUACCGGGAGAAUAAGCCCCGGCUAACUCCGUG
RNAcentral lists this ribosomal RNA (433 nucleotides) under uncultured bacterium. Its description in RNAcentral is "partial 16S ribosomal RNA". It matches the Rfam family "Bacterial small subunit ribosomal RNA", at positions 29 to 507 of the family's 1533-position model. The record is from RNAcentral.